AACGAACGCUGGCGGCAGGCCUAACACAUGCAAGUCGAGCGAACCCUUCGGGGUUAGCGGCGGACGGGUUAGUAACGCGUGGGAAUAUACCCUUUGGUACGGAAUAGCCUCGGGGAAACUGAGAGUAAUACCGUAUGUGCCCCUCGGGGGAAAGAUUUAUCGCCAAAGGAUUAGCCCGCGUUGGAUUAGAUAGUUGGUGGGGUAAUGGCCUACCAAGUCUACGAUCCAUAGCUGGUUUGAGAGGAUGAUCAGCAACACUGGGACUGAGACACGGCCCAGACUCCUACGGGAGGCAGCAGUGGGGAAUCUUAGACAAUGGGCGCAAGCCUGAUCUAGCCAUGCCGCGUGGACGAUGAAGGCCUUAGGGUUNUAAAGUCCUUUCAGAUGGGAAGAGUAAUGACGGUACCAUCAGAAGAAGCCCCGGCUAACUCCGUGCCAGCCAGCCGCGGUAAUGUAGACGUCU
RNAcentral lists this ribosomal RNA (463 nucleotides) under uncultured bacterium. RNAcentral describes it as "bacterial SSU rRNA". It matches the Rfam family "Bacterial small subunit ribosomal RNA", at positions 29 to 536 of the family's 1533-position model. The record is from RNAcentral.